GCAUGUAAGGUCGAUCUGGCUGUGAGAUGUCAACCUACUGAUCGCCAUGGGCCAUUCAGCUGGCCUGAUGUCCCCUUCCUCCCUUAUUCUGUCCCCCAUGAAGCAGCCCACUUGGUGGAGGAGGACGACCUUCCCCCAUGGAUAAGGAAGGGUGGUCCCUCGGGCAACAGUAGAGGAGGGCUCCUUCCUCUCCUGCUAGACCCCAAGCUAGAUCUCAAGAAAGGCUUAGCCUUGAUCU
This 238-nucleotide small RNA is filed under the name Jaculus jaculus (lesser Egyptian jerboa). Its description in RNAcentral is "7SK RNA (ENSJJAG00000002317.1)". It matches the Rfam family "7SK RNA", at positions 1 to 258 of the family's 331-position model. From Rfam's summary of the family: 7SK was discovered as an abundant small nuclear RNA in the mid-70s but a possible function has only recently been suggested. Two independent studies have found that 7SK RNA binds the CDK9/cyclin T complex (known as elongation factor P-TEFb). The record is from RNAcentral. Lineage: Eukaryota; Metazoa; Chordata; Mammalia; Rodentia; Dipodidae.